AAGUCGUAACAAGGUUUCCGUAGGUGAACCUGCGGAAGGAUCAUCAACAAAUCAAUUUAUGCUGGAGAAUCCGGCAUAUAUACCAAUGUGAAUUGGGAUGCUUUAGGGCGUCUCUGUGAUUUUUGUUCUGUGGAACAAAAAUAUAAGCGAGUCUAUAUGAGUCUGAUUAAAAACAUUAAUCAAAACAACUUUUAACAAUGGAUCUCUUGGCUCUU
This 215-nucleotide unclassified non-coding RNA is filed under the name fungal sp. RNAcentral's name for it is "partial internal transcribed spacer region". The stretch from base 1 to 46 matches the Rfam family "Eukaryotic small subunit ribosomal RNA", at positions 1786 to 1831 of the family's 1831-position model. Lineage: Eukaryota; Fungi. The record is from RNAcentral.